This 1762-nucleotide long non-coding RNA is filed under the name Felis catus (domestic cat). RNAcentral's name for it is "lncRNA (ENSFCAG00000048417.1)". Lineage: Eukaryota; Metazoa; Chordata; Mammalia; Carnivora; Felidae. The record is from RNAcentral.
AUGCUAGUUUAUCCCAAUAACAUCCAUUCCCCACCCAAAGCUGUAAGUGGAACCCAAAGUAUGGGUAGAGUUCUUUUGAUGUCGAUGCUGCCUGCUUGGAACCCGGUGGUAGGAAACCUAGUAGGAUAUGAGCACUACUCCUUUAGGUUUUUGCUUUUUUGCCAGUGUCGGUGCUUGGUUUUGUCCUAUGAACACAGCUUUCGUUUCCGUUCCGCAGGCCAUUAUGUAUGCAAGAGGGCCUGGCCCUUUCCUAGGUUCGCCUUGCAGGCUGUACCCCAUGGAUCACCCUUCAUAACCAGUUAUGGGCUAUGGGCCACUUCCCCUCCUCCACCAGCUCCUCCACAUACUCAGUUUGGACUCGGAAAGUGGCUACCAGCUCAUUCUUCUACAAGGUCCUGAGACAAACGGGCAUUUCAUGUCUUCACGUCCUAACUGAAUGCAGCUCCGUUCUUCUGAAUUUCUGUCAGGAUUUCUCCCUGGAAACAAGCCUGAAUCUGGAACAAACCAUCCACGGCAUCUAUGAUGUGAUGUCAUGAGACCCCUCAAUCCACGGGUCCUUUAGUAAAAUACGUCUUGCUCAGAUACUGUCUGGGAAAGUGAGGAAUGAAACACGGGAACAGCCCAGAAAAUGCAAGGGCCUGUGCUGCUGACUGACCGGCGCACCCAGGGAAGCCACCCAGCGCCCCCUCCUCAACACUCAGUGCAACAAGGCAGCUUCUCUCUGGCGACUCAGGAGACACCAAGUUGCUGCAAGGCUCCCAAGGUCUCCCCUGGGUCGGGUUUCAGAACCUGCUGGAAACGCAGCUCUCGUCUCUGUCCUGAGGCAGUGGCAGAGGCCCUGAGUCCUCUGGGGGCGACAGAAGCCCUUCCUGCUCUGAGGUGCCCUGGGUCAGAAAAGCUGAUGGGGCGCCCUCUGCUGGCCAUCACCGCACACCCAGAGGAACCGGCCCCUCCUAGUUUGUAGUGCUUGAGCACUCUCUGCUGGCCACCAUGGGAAUUCCUGCAAUGUUGAGGCCCUGGUCGCUCAGCUGAGGGAUAGAAGGUGUUCUGGGCAACUAAGCCUGUUCUCCACAUUGGGAAGGGUCUUGGUGACAGGGCCUGGGAAACUAAGAAAUCUUUUCCUUCUUUCUAGUGAGUGAAAAAUGAAACCACAUUUAUUUAUGUAAUGACAUCAUUUGUAAUGCUUUAAGCAAUGUUCACAGAAAAAUAGCCUGCCAAUUUACACAUACUGAACAAGAGGUAAUUGUGUUUCCCACCAAAAUACUUGGGUUAGAUAAAGAAUUGACACCUUUGAGAGAGAGAUACCGGAUUCCAGCUAUGGAGUGAGUAAGUCCAAGGGAUACAAGGUACAGCCAAUGGAAUAGAGUCAAUCCUGUAAUAAUAAUGUUGCAUGCUUUCACAUGAUAGCUACACUUGUGGUUAGGUACACAUAAUUUAUAGUCAUAUGGAAUAAUAUGAUGUAUGCCUAAAACUAAUACAACAAAUGUGUGAACAAUAUUUCAAUUAAAAAUCGACAUCCUUUACACUAUUUUUAGUUUCUCCUUCUUUGCCAUUAAAAAAUCAUUCCUGGGGUGCCUGGGUGGCUUAGUCGGUUAAGCGUCCAACCUCGACUCAGGUCAUGGACUUGCAAUCCAUGAGUUUGAGCCCCACGUCCCGCUCUGUGCUGACAGCUCAGAGCCUGGAGCCUGCCUCAGAUUCGGUGUCUCCCUCUCUCUCCCCGCUCCCCAGCUCGGGCUCUCUUGAAAAAAGAAAAAAAUAAACA